ACGGAUUUUAGUAGUCUGGCGUCUGUUUUUCACUGCUUGCUGUUCACAUUGACUGAACAGCAUUGUCACACUGAGACUAUGACACAAAUUCCAUCUUGACUGAAGAGCUUAGGGUUUGAGGCAUAAUAUGGCCAACACUUUACAAGCCUAUGGGUCCACCAACACUCCCAGACUUUUCUGAUCACCCUCCCUGCAUUUGCAAAGCUGAACCAAGAAAUUAGCUCUGAAUGGGGUCUUCCUUCGACACCCACAAACCUCAUCCUUGUGACAUAAACAAUGGCCAAAGCCCAGCCUGAGAGUCUGGCUACUCAGUCCAGAGUGAAGACACAGACCUUAGGGAACGGAGAGUCCCAUGGACAUUAUAGUCCAGUUUAGAGAUGACGCAACCGAGGUUGAGCAGCUGCCUGAGGUCGCAGAUGGCGAGCGGUGGCACCCGGAUCAGAGCGCAGGCACGCUGCUCCGACGCUGGCAUGUCAGCCAUCAAGCAGUUCAACUUUCUCUUCAGUCUGAGCAUUUCCAGAGCCCAACAGCCCUGUGGACUUCUGUUCCCAUGACCCUUCAUCUGUGGACUGAGUGAACACAGAGUCUGGAGGACGGAGCAAAGUAUUUCUCUGUUCCUGUGCAGUUUCCUCUUGGAUGGGAAUGAGAAUGGAAGGAGCAAGUGGAUGAGACGGAGACAGAGGACCCCAAACGGCUGUACCUCACCCUGCUAGCCGAAACUCGAAUCCUCAAAAUCUCCUUAGGUUCAGCAGAAAUUCCUUUCCUAUGGAUCAAGUCUGCACUUUGAAACCCACAGAGAAGGGACCAUCUCUUUCCAAUGACAACCCUUAGGCAUCUGUUCUAGAGGAGAAAACUCCCUAUUUCCUCUAUACAUAUGUUCAUUCUAGGAUGCCAGUUUCCAGGCCCCCAUCAUCCUGAUCAUUCUGCUCUGAUUCACUCAAGCUUGC
This 947-nucleotide long non-coding RNA is filed under the name Equus asinus (donkey). RNAcentral's name for it is "lncRNA (ENSEASG00005028713.1)". Lineage: Eukaryota; Metazoa; Chordata; Mammalia; Perissodactyla; Equidae. The record is from RNAcentral.